RNAcentral lists this ribosomal RNA (484 nucleotides) under uncultured bacterium. RNAcentral's name for it is "partial 16S ribosomal RNA". It matches the Rfam family "Bacterial small subunit ribosomal RNA", at positions 39 to 507 of the family's 1533-position model. The record is from RNAcentral.
GGGGGGGGGGGGGGGGGGGGGGGGCGGGGGGGGGGGGGGGGGGGGCGCGGGCUGCGGCCGGGCGGGGGGGGGCGAACGGGGGAGUAGUGCAGCGGAACGUGCCCAGUGGUGGGGGAUAGCCCGGCGAAAGCCGGAUUAAUACCGCAUACGACCUGAGGGUGAAAGCGGGGGACCGGAAGGCCUCGCGCUAUUGGAGCGGCCGAUGUCGGAUUAGCUAGUUGGUGGGGUAAAGGCUUACCAAGGCGACGAUCCGUAGCUGGUCUGAGAGGACGACCAGCCACACUGGGACUGAGACACGGCCCAGACUCCUACGGGAGGCAGCAGUGGGGAAUUUUGGACAAUGGGGGCAACCCUGAUCCAGCCAUGCCGCGUGCGAGAAGAAGGCCUUCGGGUUGUAAACCGCUUUUGUUCGGGAAGAAAUCCUCUGGGCUAAUACCCCGGGGGGAUGACGGUACCGGAAGAAUAAGCACCGGCUAACUACGUG